Long non-coding RNA from Pristis pectinata (smalltooth sawfish), 539 nucleotides. RefSeq lists it as uncharacterized. NCBI's taxonomy places the organism in Eukaryota, Metazoa, Chordata, Chondrichthyes, Rhinopristiformes, Pristidae. The record is from RefSeq and is a predicted model, not a curated record. The transcript has 3 exons.
GAUCCCAUCAGCAAGUUAUCAGGAUCCAGAAUGCUCCAACUGAGAAGUUGCUGGAAGCUAAUUCCAUAUAUAAUUUUAAAUGAGGAUGGAAUGUACAGGAUUUCAGACAAAAAUUGGGCAGGACUCUGAGAGUCUCAUCAGUAGACCAAGACUCACCCUCUUUCCUGGAGGACCAGGUGGCCCUGCCUCACCGGUUGGACCAGGAGAACCCUAGAAAAAGAAAGCAGACAUUGGAAUCCUCAUCCAAGGAAAAUGCUGCUGGCCAAGUUAUUGAAGAAAGGAUCUGGGAAGACUUAACAGGAGGCUGAUUUGAGGAUGAGUUUACUGGCAUGUUCCACUGUAAAAAGCUUCCACUGACGUUCACUGGUGUCUGGUCUGGUGUAACCAUCAUCCCACAGUUCUAGUUUUUGUCAAGACUUAAUCUUCUAUUUCAGCAGAGAUCUAAUUAAGCUGAAGGACGAAUGUAUGAGGAGGGAAGGAAUAGAAAGGCAUGCAGACUGGGCAAAUUUGACUUUGAGGUUACUGUGGAGGAUAUACAG